GAAAUGCGAUAAGUAGUGUGAAUUGCAGAAUUCAGUGAAUCAUCGAAUCUUUGAACGCACAUUGCGCCCUUUGGUAUUCCAAAGGGCAUGCCUGUUCGAGCGUCAUUUGUACCCUCAAGCUUUGCUUGGUGUUGGGCGUCUUGUCUCUAGCUUUGCUGGAGACUCGCCUUAAAGUAAUUGGCAGCUGGCCUACUGGUUUCGGAGCGCAGCACAAGUCGCACUCUCUAUCAGCAAAGGUCUAGCAUCCAUUAAGCCUUUUUUUCAACUUUUGACCUCGGAUCAGGUAGGGAUACCCGCUGAACUUAAGC
This 308-nucleotide unclassified non-coding RNA is filed under the name plant metagenome. RNAcentral describes it as "partial contains 5.8S ribosomal RNA, internal transcribed spacer 2, and large subunit ribosomal RNA". The stretch from base 1 to 105 matches the Rfam family "5.8S ribosomal RNA", at positions 50 to 154 of the family's 154-position model. The record is from RNAcentral.